AUAAGCGCCGGUAAGGUGAUAUGAACCGUUAUAACCGGCGAUACCCGAAUGGGGAAACCCAGUGUGAUUCGUCACACUAUCAUUAACUGAAUCCAUAGGUUAAUGAGGCGAACCGGGGGAACUGAAACAUCUAAGUACCCCGAGGAAAAGAAAUCAACCGAGAUUCCCCCAGUAGCGGCGAGCGAACGGGGAGGAGCCCAGAGCCUGAAUCAGCAUGUGUGUUAGUGGAAGCGUCUGGAAAGGCGCGCGAUACAGGGUGACAGCCCCGUACACAAAAGCGCAUGUGCUGUGAGCUCGAUGAGUAGGGCGGGACACGUGGUAUCCUGUCUGAAUAUGGGGGGACCAUCCUCCAAGGCUAAAUACUCCUGACUGACCGAUAGUGAACCAGUACCGUGAGGGAAAGGCGAAAAGAACCCCGGCGAGGGGAGUGAAAAAGAACCUGAAACCGUGUACGUACAAGCAGUGGGAGCACCCUUUGGGUGUGACUGCGUACCUUUUGUAUAAUGGGUCAGCGACUUAUAUUCUGUAGCAAGGUUAACCGAAUAGGGGAGC
This 552-nucleotide ribosomal RNA is filed under the name Salmonella enterica subsp. enterica serovar Enteritidis. Its description in RNAcentral is "partial 23S ribosomal RNA". It matches the Rfam family "Bacterial large subunit ribosomal RNA", at positions 71 to 666 of the family's 2925-position model. Lineage: Bacteria; Pseudomonadati; Pseudomonadota; Gammaproteobacteria; Enterobacterales; Enterobacteriaceae. The record is from RNAcentral.